AUCUAGCUGACGAGUCCCAAAUAAGACAAAACAUGCGUCCGAGAU
Non-coding RNA from Schistosoma margrebowiei, 45 nucleotides. NCBI's taxonomy places the organism in Eukaryota, Metazoa, Platyhelminthes, Trematoda, Strigeidida, Schistosomatidae. The record is from Rfam.